This 349-nucleotide ribosomal RNA is filed under the name uncultured bacterium. RNAcentral describes it as "bacterial SSU rRNA". It matches the Rfam family "Bacterial small subunit ribosomal RNA", at positions 917 to 1267 of the family's 1533-position model. The record is from RNAcentral.
GGGCCCGCACAAGCGGUGGAGUAUGUGGUUUAAUUCGAUGCAACGCGAAGAACCUUACCAGGGUUUGACAUCCUGCGAAUUUCUUGGAAACGAGAAAGUGCCUUCGGGAACGCAGUGACAGGUGGUGCAUGGCUGUCGUCAGCUCGUGUCGUGAGAUGUUGGGUUAAGUCCCGCAACGAGCGCAACCCACGUCUUUAGUUGCCAGCAUUUAGUUGGGCACUCUAGAGAGACUGCCGGUGAUAAACCGGAGGAAGGUGUGGAUGACGUCAAGUCAUCAUGCCCCUUACAUCCUGGGCUACACACGUACUACAAUGCUACGGACAAAGGGCAGCAAGUUCGCGAGGACAAG